This 108-nucleotide transfer RNA is filed under the name Chloropicon primus. It matches the Rfam family "tRNA". From Rfam's summary of the family: Transfer RNA (tRNA) molecules are approximately 80 nucleotides in length. Their secondary structure includes four short double-helical elements and three loops (D, anti-codon, and T loops). The record is from Rfam by way of RNAcentral. Lineage: Eukaryota; Viridiplantae; Chlorophyta; Chloropicophyceae; Chloropicales; Chloropicaceae.
GCUAAGAUGCCCGAGCUGGUCCAAGGGGGACGACUUAAGCUAGAAUUUCUACUCUGUAUGAGAUCGUCUGCACGCGCGUGCGCGUGGGUUCGAAUCCCACUCUUAGCA